GUUCGGUGGAAACGAGAAUAAAACGUGAAGGAUAACGUUGCGUCAGCAACGGCCCGUAGGGCGAGGCAAAGCCGAGUCAUCCUGCACAACCCACCA
Molecule: small RNA, 96 nt
Filed under: Salmonella enterica subsp. enterica serovar Thompson
Lineage: Bacteria; Pseudomonadati; Pseudomonadota; Gammaproteobacteria; Enterobacterales; Enterobacteriaceae
Also listed under: 31 other names
Description: partial RtT sRNA
Rfam family: RtT RNA
About the family: This family represents a bacterial cis-regulatory element known as RtT RNA. The exact function of RtT is unknown although it is thought that it may be involved in changing the cellular response in relation to amino acid starvation.
Source: RNAcentral